This is a non-coding RNA of Dryococelus australis, 66 nucleotides long. The record is from the annotation of a GenBank genome assembly. NCBI's taxonomy places the organism in Eukaryota, Metazoa, Arthropoda, Insecta, Phasmatodea, Phasmatidae.
GUUUCCGUGGUGUAGUGGUUAUCACAUCCGCCUUACACGCUGCAGGUUCGAUCCCGAGCGGAAACA